Non-coding RNA from Stegodyphus mimosarum, 73 nucleotides. Lineage: Eukaryota; Metazoa; Arthropoda; Arachnida; Araneae; Eresidae. The record is from Rfam.
GCCUUCGUGGUGUACUGGUCAGCGCGCUCGACGCGUAAUCGAGAGCUCCAUGGUUCGAUUCCCGGCGAAGGCA